AUUGAACGCUGGCGGCAUGCCUUACACAUGCAAGUCGAACGGCAGCGGACCUUCGGGUGCCAGCGAGUGGCGAACGGGUGAGUAAUAUAUCGGAACGUACCUUUCAGUGGGGGAUAACGUAGCGAAAGUUACGCUAAUACCGCAUAUUCUGUGAGCAGGAAAGCAGGGGAUCGCAAGACCUUGCGCUGAUUGAGCGGCCGAUAUCAGAUUAGCUAGUUGGUGAGGUAAAGGCUCACCAAGGCGACGAUCUGUAGCGGGUCUGAGAGGAUGAUCCGCCACACUGGAACUGAGACACGGUCCAGACUCCUACGGGAGGCAGCAGUGGGGAAUUUUGGACAAUGGGCGCAAGCCUGAUCCAGCCAUGCCGCGUGAGUGAAGAAGG
Molecule: ribosomal RNA, 382 nt
Filed under: uncultured bacterium
Lineage: Bacteria
Description: bacterial SSU rRNA
Rfam family: Bacterial small subunit ribosomal RNA
Source: RNAcentral